UAUUAUGCUUCACCGAUAGAAAGAGAGGAGAAGAAAGAAAGAGAAAUCCUAAACCCACAAAUUUCUACCGUCCAUAACUUUUGAUUCCAAACUCUGAUUGAGGAGUUUUUUGCAGCCACGCAUCUUCUCAUCGAGAUUUUCGAUUCUAAUCCAACAAAGUGGUGUGAUGAAGAUUGUUCCACUGGUGAUUCGAAGGUUUGGAGGAGACAAAAGGUGCAGAGUUAUACUAGGGCUAGAAUCUCUUGAUGCAGGACGCGAGGCACCUCACUAAGCAUUCUGGAGACUCUUUGAAAGCGAAGAACUCUUGUGUGAAUAGAUUCUCCGCCUUGUGUAUUUUGUAUCCCUCAUAGAGGUUGAUUUAGAGAAACAUGUGUUUUGUCUUAUAUUUUGGAUAUAUAUACUCAGGUCGGUCUUAGUUUCGCAGGUCAAGUUUGGAACUUGAUAGUUGUAUCUUUGGAACUUCAAUCUUUAUAUAUACGUGUGUUAUCCUUU
Molecule: non-coding RNA, 492 nt
Organism: Arachis ipaensis
Lineage: Eukaryota; Viridiplantae; Streptophyta; Magnoliopsida; Fabales; Fabaceae
Source: RefSeq, a predicted model, not a curated record